GAUGAACGCUGGCGGCGUGCUUAACACAUGCAAGUCGAACGGAAAGGCUCCUGCUUGGAGGGGUACUCGAGUGGCGAACGGGUGAGUAACACGUGGGUGAUCUGCCCUGCACUUCGGGAUAAGCCUGGGAAACUGGGUCUAAUACCGGAUAGGACGAUGGUUUGGAUGCCAUUGUGGAAAGUUUUUCGGUGUGGGAUGAGCUCGCGGCCUAUCAGCUUGUUGGUGGGGUAAUGGCCUACCAAGGCGUCGACGGGUAGCCGGCCUGAGAGGGUGUACGGCCACAUUGGGACUGAGAUACGGCCCAGACUCCUACGGGAGGCAGCAGUGGGGAAUAUUGCACAAUGGGCGCAAGCCUGAUGCAGCGACGCCGCGUGGGGGAUGACGGCCUUCGGGUUGUAAACUCCUUUCGCUAGGGACGAAGCGCAAGUGACGGUACCUGGAGAAGAAGCACCGGCUAACUACGUG
Molecule: ribosomal RNA, 465 nt
Filed under: uncultured bacterium
Lineage: Bacteria
Description: partial 16S ribosomal RNA
Rfam family: Bacterial small subunit ribosomal RNA
Source: RNAcentral